RNAcentral lists this transfer RNA (73 nucleotides) under Camelus bactrianus (Bactrian camel). It matches the Rfam family "tRNA". Rfam says of the family: Transfer RNA (tRNA) molecules are approximately 80 nucleotides in length. Their secondary structure includes four short double-helical elements and three loops (D, anti-codon, and T loops). Further hydrogen bonds mediate the characteristic L-shaped molecular structure. tRNAs have two regions of fundamental functional importance: the anti-codon, which is responsible for specific mRNA codon recognition, and the 3' end, to which the tRNAs corresponding amino acid is attached (by aminoacyl-tRNA synthetases). tRNAs cope with the degeneracy of the genetic code in two manners: having more than one tRNA (with a specific anti-codon) for a particular amino acid; and 'wobble' base-pairing, i.e. permitting non-standard base-pairing at the 3rd anti-codon position. Lineage: Eukaryota; Metazoa; Chordata; Mammalia; Artiodactyla; Camelidae. RNAcentral also lists the same sequence under 2 other names. The record is from Rfam by way of RNAcentral.
GAGGGUAUAGCUCAAGUGAAGGAGCGCCUGCUUAGCAUGCACAAGGUCCUGGGUUCAAUCCCCAGUACCCCCU